Molecule: ribosomal RNA, 791 nt
Filed under: uncultured bacterium
Lineage: Bacteria
Description: bacterial SSU rRNA
Rfam family: Bacterial small subunit ribosomal RNA
Source: RNAcentral
AGAGUUUGAUCCUGGCUCAGAUUGAACGCUGGCGGCAUGCCUUACACAUGCAAGUCGAACGGCAGCACGGGAGCAAUCCUGGUGGCGAGUGGCGAACGGGUGAGUAAUACAUCGGAACGUGUCCUGUAGUGGGGGAUAGCCCGGCGAAAGCCGGAUUAAUACCGCAUACGAUCUGUGGAUGAAAGCGGGGGAUCUUCGGACCUCGCGCUACAGGGGCGGCCGAUGGCAGAUUAGCUAGUUGGUGGGGUAAAGGCCUACCAAGGCGACGAUCUGUAGCUGGUCUGAGAGGACGACCAGCCACACUGGGACUGAGACACGGCCCAGACUCCUACGGGAGGCAGCAGUGGGGAAUUUUGGACAAUGGGCGAAAGCCUGAUCCAGCAAUGCCGCGUGUGUGAAGAAGGCCUUCGGGUUGUAAAGCACUUUUGUCCGGAAAGAAAACCUCGUGGUUAAUACCCGUGGGGGAUGACGGUACCGGAAGAAUAAGCACCGGCUAACUACGUGCCAGCAGCCGCGGUAAUACGUAGGGUGCAAGCGUUAAUCGGAAUUACUGGGCGUAAAGCGUGCGCAGGCGGUUCGCUAAGACAGAUGUGAAAUCCCCGGGCUUAACCUGGGAACUGCAUUUGUGACUGGCGGGCUAGAGUAUGGCAGAGGGGGGUAGAAUUCCACGUAGCAGUGAAAUGCGUAGAGAUGUGGAGGAAUACCGAUGGCGAAGGCAGCCCCCUGGGCCAAUACUGACGCUCAUGCACGAAAGCGUGGGGAGCAAACAGGAUUAGAUACCCUAGUAGUCC